AACCCCCCCGGUCGGAUUAGACAACACUCCGUCUGUCAGGGAAGUCGGUCGGGACUUUAAAACAUUGGAAAACAUGAAGUAAAAACUUUCUGAAGCUGAAGAAAGUAACGUGAUUUCCUGGGAGGACUAGUCCGGCCAACAGCCGAAGACUCCUGCAGCCUGUGGAUAAAAUGCGUUUCAUUAUAUGACCGUUUUGUUGCCGCUGUCAGCAUGGCAGGUAUUUUAACGUGUUUGAAGCGGGGACUGAAGGUUGACGUGCUGAGGGAAGCUGGCCGUCAGUAUCCAGUCUUCUGCUUCCUGCUGCUGUCUAUGCUCUCUCUCACCGUGCUGCUCAACAGGUAUAUCCACAUCCUGAUGGUCUUCUGGUCGUUUCUGGCCGGUGUCGUCACUUUCUACUGCUCCCUCGGACCAGAGUCCCUUCUACCAAAUAUCCUCUUCACCAUAAAGCCAAGGAACACACAGCGGCAGGAGCAGGAGUUGUUUCCUCUGGGCCACAGCUGUGCCGUGUGUGGAAAGGUCAAGUGCAAACGUCACCGGCCGACCCUGCUGCUUGAAAACUAUCAGCCAUGGUUGGACCUGAAGGUUCAUUCAAAGGUGGACGCUUCAAUAGCAGAGGUGUUCGAGUUAGUUCUGGAGAACUUUGUGUUCCCCUGGUACAGGGACAUCACAGAUGACGAGGCGUGCGUGGACGAACUGAGGAUGACCUUUCGCUUCUUCGCAUCAGUGCUCAUCCGCCGGGUUCAGAAGGUCGAUGUUCCUGCCGUGUUUGCUGACAAAGUGAUGAAAGCUGCGAUGAAGCAUAUUGAAAUUAUUGCAAAAGCUCGAGAUAAAGUGAAGAACGUGGAGGCUUUACAACAGGCAGCUCUGGAUGAAUACGGCAUCGACCUCCACGUCGCUCUGCACAGCCGAAAAGACGAACUGCUCUACCUGAGGAAGCUGACCGAGAUGCUGUUUCCCUACGUCAUGCCUCCCAAAGCAACAGACUGCAGGUCUCUGGCUCUGCUGCUGCGGGAGGUGAUGGCUGGAUCGGUCAUAUUACCCACCAUGGAUUUCAUGGCUGACCCUGACACUGUGAACCUCCUGGUGCUGCUCUUUGUUGAUAAUAGUCCACCUGAACCAGCCACAGAGCCUCCGUCUACCCUGGUUCCAUUUUUACAGAGAUAUGCAGACAUCAGCAACAAGAAGUCGUCUGUGCUGAAGUUGGAGCUGAAGGAGAUCAGGGAAGAGCAGGAUCUCCUUUUUCGUUUCAUGAACUUCCUGAAACAGGAAGGAGCCGUGAACGUGCUGCAGUUCUGCCUCACCGUUGAGGAAUUCAACGAUAAGAUCCUGAGUCCGGAGCUGAGCGACUCUGAGCUGCAGCGUCUGCACGGCGAGGUGCUGGACAUGUACGAGACCUACUGCCUGGACGAAAGCAUCGACAAGAUCAGCUUCGACAAGUUCAUCGUGGAGGAGAUAAGGAACAUCGCUAAAGGUCCGUACGCCGACGUGGUGAAGCUGCAGACGAUGCCCUGCAUGUUUGAGGCGUACGAACACGUCCUGUCUCUGCUGGAGAAAGUCUUCACCCCGAUGUUCUGUCACAGCGACGAAUACUUCAGACACCUGCUGAGAGGCGCCGAGUCUCCAACGAGGAACUCAAGAAUUAACAGAAACGCGUCAAAACGAGGCGAGUCGUUCGGGAUCAGCAGGAUUGGCAGCAAAAUCAAAGGUGUGUUCAAGAGCACGACCAUGGAGGGAGCCAUGCUGCCACCCAGCGCCAUGAACGACUUCGGCGAGGAUUUGGUGGAGGAGGCGACUGUCGUGAUGGAGGACGACUGCCCCGCCGAGCCGGCCAGCACACCGGGCGCCCUGAGGAACCUGUCGGCCUGGAGCAUCACCAUCCCUUACAUCGACAUCUACGACGACGAGGCCAAGAGGGAGAAGAUCCCCGUCUUCUGCAUCGACGUGGAACGCAACGACAGGAAGGAAGCUGGUCAUGAAACUGAAAAGUGGUCUGUCUACAGAAGAUAUCUGGAGUUCUACGUACUAGAAUCCAAACUCACCGAAUUCCACGGCACAUUUGCAGAUGCGCAGCUUCCAUCCAAAAGAAUUAUUGGACCAAAGAAUUACGAGUUCCUCACAUCAAAAAGAGAAGAAUUUGAGGAAUAUUUACAGCUGCUGGUUUGUGUGCAGAGACUCCUGCGGCAUCCAGAGCUCAGUAACAGUCAGCUGCUGGCAGACUUCCUGUCUCCGUACAGCAUGGAGUCUCAGUUCCUGGACAGGAUGCUGCCUGAUGUCAACCUGGGAAAGAUUUUCAAGUCUGUACCAGGGAAGCUGAUGAAAGAGAAAGGACAGAACCUGGAGCCUUUCAUCCAGUCCUUCAUCAACUCCUGCGAGUCGCCAAAACCCAAACCCAGCAGACCCGAGCUGACCAUCCUCAGCCCCUCAACCGAGAACAACAAGCGGCUCUUCAGCGACCUGUUCAAGAACAACGCAAACCUGGCAGAGAGUCUGGAGUGGAGAAGCAACCACAACUGCUUCAUGGAUAUGGUCCCUGUUGACGGCAUGUAUGACUACAUGAUGUACGUCGGUCGUGUGGCGUUCCACAUACCGGACUGGUUGCACCACAUCCUGGCCGCGGGGAGGAUCCUGUUCAAGAACACCUUCGAAGCCUACAUGGACCAGUACAUGCUGUCUAAACUGGAGCAGAUCCUCCAGGAGCACCACCUGGUCUCCCUCAUCACACAGCUCAGAGACGCCGUCUUCUGUGAGAGCAGCGUACAGCGAACCACAGAGGACAAACAAGUCAGAGCCAAGAAGACCUUUGAGGAGAUGAUGAAGUAUUUACCAGACUUUGUGGGAAAGUGCAUCGGCGAGGAGGCAAAAUACGAAGGCAUCCGGCUCCUCUUUGAAGUAUUCCAGCAGCCGCUCCUCAACAAGCAGAUGACGUACGUCCUGCUGGACAUCGCCGUGCAGGAGCUUUUCCCUGAACUCUGCAAGGGUGGUGGUUCCGGGGACUUGGGAUCUCACAGAAUCUCACGUGAUCACAAGGGACUUCAGACGUAAACAAACAUGGAGGCAGACUGUUGUCGUCAGCUGGUUGAAAACAAACCAACGAAAGAGAAUCCUACUGGAUGAACUCGAGGCUGAGAAGGUGAAGUCGGCAGGCAUUUUAUAGAGCAGAUGCACAACACGCCGGGGACGCUUCCUCAUUGGCCGCUCCGGGUUUCCGGGAUCAUUUGGGCUGAUAAUCUGUUCCGACCAGCCUCGGCUCAGGAACCACCCUGUGAUUGUCUGGAGGACAAAUUGGACCAAAAAAUCAUCCCAACUCUCCUCUAAUCAGGGAGUGAAGGAGCCGAUGGUCGUGUGACGCAGACGAUGUACCCAACACUGGAUACUCCAACGUCCCGGGUUUAUAGAAGAGCAGUACUGAACUAUUUCAACACCUCUGGGAUCAUUUUUACAUUCCAAUGUAUUUUAAUGCACUAAUAAAAAGAUAUAUAUUUAUUGAUGUCCCUACA
RNA transcript from Micropterus dolomieu (smallmouth bass), 3497 nucleotides. It is a transcript of the gene named sorting nexin-14-like, with no coding region annotated. The record is from RefSeq and is a predicted model, not a curated record. NCBI's taxonomy places the organism in Eukaryota, Metazoa, Chordata, Actinopteri, Centrarchiformes, Centrarchidae. The transcript is spliced from 30 exons.